CCCAAAUUCACACACAAAACAUAAAAUCCGAGUGGAAAAAAGUAACAUUUUUACUGUGAAAACCACAAAUAUGUGUGAUGAACUGUUUUUAAAACUUAAACUUCAAAUAAAAAUUGUAAACUUCAAAACAUAUGCAAAUUUUUAACAAAGAACAUAGUGAUUUACCUCUAUUUACAUCAAAAUGCAGGCAAUGGCCCAGGCGUUCUUUGUAAAAUUAUUUACAAAACACUGUAUAGUCUCACAAAUGUCACUUUUUAUUUAUGCCACUACAAAAAAACAUGAUGUAAAUGAUGCAUGAUGUAAAACAUGAUGUAAAAAACUUGUGUAGAUCCUCCUCUAUGUCAGUCCAUGUGUAAUUUUUCCAUAAUUCUUUGUUUUUUGCAGCAUUUUUGUUAGUGUAACUGCAGAUUGUGCUAACAGUGUCUAUGGCACAAAAAAAAAAAAAAUUAAAAUGCCUCAACAUGAACCCCUGGUGGUCUCUGAGGGUGAAACCUGCUAACUGCUGCAGCUCUGUCAGCUUCAGUCUCCCAUGCAGAGCUCUGAGCGCAUGUGUGGCUCUGCACCCUUAGCAGCGUUGCUAACUCCUCAGUAAGGAAAGCCUGCUUCAUGUCAGAGUCUCUAAACUCCAGAAGAAGUCGAUAAAAGUCCCUUUCUUUCUAAAAAAAAGUCGUUAGGGGGUCUGAAAAGUCAUUGAAUCUAACAACAAAGUCGCUAAGUUUGCAACUACGUGUCCCAGACUGCAUCCCUGCUGAGAGUCCCUCCCUCCCUUCUCAUGUUGCAGGAAGAACGUAAGCGCCCGCCCCUUGUCAAUCAGUCACCAUAUAAUUUUGGAUUGGUUGUUGUGGUGAAGUUUUCCACCAAUAGGAGAGAUGUUGUGGUGUGUGUUUUUUUUCUUUUGGCAAGCCUUUUCCGCCUGUAAGAGCUGUCGCUAAUGUCUGCAUGCUAUGUUUUCCUGUCUCAUACAGCGCGAUCGAGCGCCGAACGUGAUCAAAAUAAGCAGAAAAAAAGUAUCGCGGACAUAAUUUAUCAUAACUCUGGUUUUAUUUGGCCUAUCAACACAAUUUAAAAACUGGUAUAUAGGUUGAGGUCCUCACUUUUGAGAUAAGUUGAAACGGAGAGUCAACGAGGCUCCGUCUUGCAGCUACAUCCGGUUAAAUAUGUCAUGUGACUUGAACGCACACACAGACACACACACACACACACACACACACACACACUCAGAGUCUGGUUUUUAGCACCUGCAAAAACAUGCUAUUUACAUAUUUGACAAGAAUGCAGAGGCUCCUUUUGCCCCUGAAAAAAAUCAAAUUUCAAACACAACUUGACUGGUCAUUUCUCCAAAAGACAACCAUGAAGCUCCAUCCAAACCUGAAGCAGGCAGUUUGUGCAUGUGUACAGUAACCUGAGGGGAGUGAGGUGAGUGCUUCUGAGGAGAACAUGAGCAGUGAAGAUUCACCUUGGAGCUAGAACAGAGACAUGCACAUGAUUAUACAGGGGCAGGGGCUCAAGUUUUUUCCAGUCGUUUAUACAAUAUGGAAAUUAAUGUGAAAUUAAAACACAAAGUAUUAAUAGAAAGGUAAUGACUGUCCUGUGUAGGUGACAGUGAUAUCCAAUAGGCUAGGCACUCACGAGGCUGGCUGUGGCAAGUGUAAGUGAAAGCAACACGCACUGGCAGGAAGAACAGCAAACGCCGAUGAAGGAAAAGGGUCUUUGCAGUGAUGGGCGUUACCAGAGAGGGCGAUGGCCAGAGGACACAAAUGGGACGGGGAGGCAGCACGUUGGGGGGGGGGGACGCGACACGGCUCGGGCCCGCCAGUGCCCCAACGGGGUCCUAGUUAGGGCCCGAGCGUAGCUGCUAAGCAGCUGCGAGAGCCCUAUUAUUCCUGAUGGAUUCUUCUUUCUUCUUCUUCUUAUUAUUAUUUUUCUGCCCCUUUGAACUGGAAAAUGGCCCACUUCCCACUGGUGAAAAGUCAUGAAAUUUGGCAGGACGACCGGGCCUGGUGAAAAAUUCGAUAUUCUGAAGUCGCCCAAAAAAUCAAAUGCAAAAUGGCUCCAUAGCGCCCCCUAAGGUGAAAAAUUCACAUGAUUGAGUGUCACGCCUGUACGCUUUGUCAAAAUGACACAAAAUUUGACACACACGUGUAUCUCAAUAAGAUCUACAAAAAAGUCAGUGCGGGCGUAUCUGUCAAAUGUACGGUUAAAGGGCUAUUUCGCAUUUUUUGCCGAUCCGCACACAUUGGAAUUUCGCUAACUCCUCCGAAGGCUUUCGUUCCACCGGCACCAAAUUUGCUCAGGCCAAUCUACACCCCAUGGCCAUUAAAAGUUGUACAAAUCAUGACGCUGCAUCCCACGGUUUACGUUCUAGGGGGCGCCAAAGAUAACCCAGAAAUCCACAUUCUUAAAAGUCGUAUAACUUUUUAUUUUUGUCCUCACUGGCCUCCAAGUUUUCUAGGAUGAUGCAAUGUCCAGCCAUCAACACAUUUGUGAAGGAAUUUUUACUCCCCAAAAGAGCGCCCCCCCAUGGCAGGAGAAAAAAGUCCAUUUUUUCUUGUCUCCUAAGGCGAAAAUUCACACUAUUGACUGUCACGCCUUUACGCUUUGUCAUAUUGACACAAAAAUUGACACACACAUGUAUCUCAAUAAGAUCUACAAAAAAGUCAGUGCGGGCGUAUCUGUCAAAUGUACGGUGAAAGGGCUAUUUCGCAUUUUUUGCCGAUCCGCACACAUUGGAAUUUCGCUAACUCCUCCGAAGGCUUUCGUUCCAAAGGCACCACAUUUGCUGAGGCCAAUCUACACCCCAUGGCCAUUUAAAGUUGUACAAAUCAUGAUGCUGCACCCCACGGUUUACGUUCUAGGGGGCGCCAAAGAUAACCCAAAAAUCCACAGUCUUAAAAGUCUUAUAACUUUUUAUUUUUGUCCUCACUGGCCUCCAAGUUCUCUAGGAUGAUGCAAUGUCCAGCCAUCAACACAUUUGUGAAGGAAUUUUUACUCGCCAAAAGAGCCCCCCAUGGCAGGAGAAAAAAGUCCAUUUUUUCUUGUCUCCUAAGGCGAAAAUACACACUAUUGACUGUCACGCCUUUACGCUUUGUCAUAUUGACACAAAAAUUGACACACACAUGUAUCUCAAUAAGAUCUACAAAAAAGUCAGUGCGGGCGUAUCUGUCAAAUGUACGGUGAAAGGGCUAUUUCGCAUUUUUUGCCGAUCCGCACACAUUGGAAUUUCGCUAACUCCUCCGAAGGCUUUCGUUCCAAAGGCACCACAUUUGCUGAGGCCAAUCUACACCCCAUGGCCAUUAAAAGUUGUACAAAUCAUGAUGCUGCACCCCACGGUUUACGUUCUAGGGGGCGCCAAAGAUAACCCAAAAAUCCACAGUCUUAAAAGUCUUAUAACUUUUUAUUUUUGUCCUCACUGGCCUCCAAGUUCUCUAGGAUGAUGCAAUGUCCAGCCAUCAACACAUUUGUGAAGGAAUUUUUACUCGCCAAAAGAGCGCCCCCCCAUGGCAGGAGAAAAAAGUCCAUUUUUUCUUGUCUCCUAAGGCGAAAAUACACAUUGUUGACUGUCACGCCUUUACGCUUUGUCAAAAUGACACAAAAUUUGACACACACAUGUAUCUCAAUAAGAUCUACAAAAAAGUCAGUGCGGGCGUAUCUGUCAAAUGUACGGUUAAAGGGUUAUUUCGCAUUUUUUGCCGAUCCGCACACAUUGGAAUUUCGCUAACUCCUCCUAAAUCUUUUGUCCCAUCGGCUUCAAAUUUGCUCAGGUCAAUCUACACCCCAUGGCCAUUCAAAGUUGUACAAAUCAUGACGCUGCACCCCACAGUUUACGUUCUAGGGGGCGCCAAAGAGGACCCAAAUAUCCACAUUUUUAAAAGUCUUAUAACUUUUUAUUUUUGUCCUCACUGGCCUCCAAGUUUUCUAGGAUGAUGCAAUGUCCAGCCAUCAACACAUUUGUGAAGGAAUUUUUUCUCCCCAAAAGAGCGCCCCCCCAUGGCAGGAGAAAAAGUCAAGUUUUUCCUGCCCAUCGCUCAAUGGCUCAAACGCAUCGCUCUCUCUGCAAAACGGAAAGGAGGAGCAACUUGCCAUUUGGAUAUAUACUAGCUGUGUUUGUGCCCUCACUCAUGGUCCAGACUUUUUUCAAAUAGGACAUGUAGUUUGUCUGCAGCAAGCGUUUUGGUAGAAACUGCGCCUCCCAUUCAUUAUAAUGGGAAAUGACCACAGACAAGUGCCCACACCAUCUUUGGACCUUGAGUGUGACGCGAUCGGGAGGGGGAGGCGGUCGCGCUGGGGGCGGCGCGACGCGGCUCGGGCCCGACAGUGCCCCACCGGGGCCCUAGUUAUUAUUAUUAUUAUUUUUCCUCCGCUUUAAACUGG
RNAcentral lists this long non-coding RNA (4371 nucleotides) under Xyrichtys novacula (pearly razorfish). The record is from RNAcentral. Lineage: Eukaryota; Metazoa; Chordata; Actinopteri; Labriformes; Labridae.